UACGGGGGGGGCAAGCGUUGUUCGGAAUUACUGGGCGUAAAGGGCUCGUAGGCGGCCAACUAAGUCAGACGUGAAGUCCCUCGGCUUAACCGGGGAACUGCGUCUGAUACUGGAUGGCUUGAGGUUGGGAGAGGGAUGCGGAAUUCCAGGUGUAGCGGUGAAAUGCGUAGAUAUCUGGAGGAACACCGGUGGCGAAGGCGGCAUCCUGGACCAAUUCUGACGCUGAGGAGCGAAAGCCAGGGGAGCAAACGGG
This 253-nucleotide ribosomal RNA is filed under the name uncultured bacterium. Its description in RNAcentral is "partial 16S ribosomal RNA". It matches the Rfam family "Bacterial small subunit ribosomal RNA", at positions 524 to 776 of the family's 1533-position model. The record is from RNAcentral.